ACCUAUUAAUUGUUUUGAUUAAUUUUUGAAAUAUUUUUUAUAAAAAAUAAUUAAAUAAAACACAUGUAAUGAUUUUAGCGAUACAAUUAACCCAUAAUAGUUCAAAAUGGAGACUUCUUAGGAAGCAUAAUAUCUUUAAAGAUCACAUUAGAAAAUGUACAUAUGACAACUAAAUCAAAUGACACUCGUUCCAUACUACACCUCGUUAAAGCACAAGAGGAAGCAGACAUAAUGAUAUUUGUAACACUGAUGAAUCACAUUAAUAUUCCAGGUAGCUUUUGAAAUCGAACAGAUCAACAUUAAGUUAUGGAGAAAAAAAAGACUAAAAAACAUAGGAGCUAUAGGGAAAAUUAUGGCAGCAUUGCAAAAGGGUGUAUAAAAAUAACAUGGCAAACAUAAAAAACUCCAUUACUACCUUUUCCUAGAGCUCCAUACAAUCAUACAUAGAGGAAAUAUUUCACCACUCUUUGUUAUGAAAAUAAAGUGACCAUCAUAUAAGAGCAUGGAUCAUGAAUCUCAUGUCCUGUUCCUAGAGGGUAUCAUUGCCAAAGGAUCUUCAGUUGCCCAAAUGAUCAAACAAGUCCAUGGACUUGAAGUUAUCAUUGGUUGAUUAGGAGCUCUAUAUCAUCUUCAUCAUCUUUAAUCACACAGCUGCAUACACAAAUUUCCAUUUGGAACUGAAAAUUGAACAACUAGCUAGCCAAAAAUAGCUGACCUAUACUAUGUGUGAAUGAUUAAUUGCUCAAAGAGAACAAAGGAGGGUUAGUUUUCUGAAGGUAUAAAGAGAAAAAAAAUUCCUUUUGGUGGGGUUGAGGGCAUAAGUUAGAGGAUCUUCUAAGCAUAUUCCUAUAGCAUUAACUCU
This 862-nucleotide long non-coding RNA is filed under the name Lupinus angustifolius (narrow-leaved blue lupine). Its description in RNAcentral is "long non-coding RNA (LANG_LNC001180)". The record is from RNAcentral. Lineage: Eukaryota; Viridiplantae; Streptophyta; Magnoliopsida; Fabales; Fabaceae.